GAGAGAUUUCUGCAAAGUGAAGGAUAGUAAAAACAGAAGUUGGUGUCUUGUGCAAGCAUGCAGCUGUAGAUGCUUGGAAAGUGCUCCCUAGGGCAAUGUGGAAGCCACUCUAAUGGAAAGAAAUAUGUAAAGGGUCAGGGUGGAUGGAGGUAGAACACAUUCCUACACAGCCCAAUGUCUCCUUGGAUCCCCAUUUCUUUCAAGGCUUCCCUGUCACCAUCUUAUAGGUAACUGGCUAGGGAAUUUGAGGUGAGGGAGCAACUGGUGCUGGAGCAUGGAUUAUUGGUGGUAGAAUGUUAAUGCAAUGAGUUGUGGACAGUUAAGAAGUAAGAUUCCAUUCCCCUAAAUGUAGUCUGUAGGCCACCACAUCUGCCAGCUCUCCCUGAGUUGUCAAGAAGUGGCACAGAUUCUACUGAUUCCAAUCCCUAUUUCAUCCUUCCUCAAGUCCAGUCCCCUGGAUCCCACAUUCAACACAGUCCCGAGGUAAAAGGAAUGUGAGAUCUGAGUUCUACAGCUACUUAUUCGAAUAAAGGGUACAUUGAUUUUUCCUCCCCGCUAUAGGAGCGUACACCAAGAUUCUGGCAUUGCUGAAUAAAGUACGUGGUGUCCCUGUGGGACCAGGUUUGCUACUGCAGUUUUCUUAGAUGCACUAAUUCUGCACAUACUUAGUGUCAGUCACAUUGCCUAAUUGAAGUAGGGAACAUCAGGAUUUAGUGGAUUAAGGGUCAUCUAAAUGGGUGGCAGAAUUGAGGGGAUAUCCUUUCCAUUGUUGUUUUCUACCCUCCUGCAAAGGCUG
RNAcentral lists this long non-coding RNA (796 nucleotides) under Marmota monax (woodchuck). The record is from RNAcentral. Lineage: Eukaryota; Metazoa; Chordata; Mammalia; Rodentia; Sciuridae.